Molecule: ribosomal RNA, 492 nt
Filed under: uncultured bacterium
Lineage: Bacteria
Description: bacterial SSU rRNA
Rfam family: Bacterial small subunit ribosomal RNA
Source: RNAcentral
GAUGAACGCUGGCGGCGUGCCUAAUACAUGCAAGUCGAACGCAUUGUGGUUGAAAUGAUAUGAAGAACUUGUUCAGAUUUGAUUUUCAACAUUGCAAUGAGUGGCGAACGGGUGUGUAACACGUGGGAAACCUACCUCUUAGCAGGGGAUAACAUUUGGAAACAAAUGCUAAUACCGUAUAAUAAUUAAAACCGCAUGGUUUUAGUUUAAAAGAUGGUCUUGCUAUCACUAAGAGAUGGUCCCGCGGUGUAUUAGUUAGUUGGUGAGGUAAUGGCUCACCAAGACAAUGAUACAUAGCCGAGUUGAGAGACUGACCGGCCACAAUGGGAGUGAGACACGGCCCAUACUCCUACGGGAGCAGCAGUAGGAAUCUCCACAAUGGACGAAAGUCUGAUGGAGCAACGCCGCGUGUGUGAUGAAGGUUUCGGCUCGUAAAACACUGUUGUAAGAGAAGAAUGACAUUGAGAGUAACUGUUCAAUGUGUGACGGUAU